GCCGGAAUAGCUCAGUCGGUAAGCAAGGACUGAAAAUCCUCGUGUCACCAGUUCAAAUACUGGCCGUCGUUUU
RNAcentral lists this transfer RNA (73 nucleotides) under Ceramanus centipes. RNAcentral describes it as "partial tRNA-Phe". Lineage: Eukaryota; Viridiplantae; Streptophyta; Jungermanniopsida; Jungermanniales; Lepidoziaceae. RNAcentral also lists the same sequence under 1 other name. The record is from RNAcentral.